UUCCAAUGGAUGUAUUAUCUCAACAUUUUUAGCAGCCUUCUCCUAAAUGUUUCCUAAUGUCACGUACAAAAACAUAGGGAAUUUGCAUGGAAAAUCUUCCACUAGGGAAAAGGAAAACACCUUAAUUUGAAACUGAGCUAACAUGUUGAUUUGGGGGCUUUACGAGCAAGGGUAUGAACAAAGCGGGGCAGUUGGAGAAGCGGAAGAAGAGAAAAAGAGGUGAAGCCAUCAGUGUCUACAGCUUCAGCUAUUGCCCGUGUGCAGAUGGUGCUUAAUCUCUCUUGUGCCUUCCAGACCUGCAUUCCAGCCACCUACCAAACCCCUUUCUGUGGAUGCCAAGAAAAGUCUUCAGACCGUGGACAAUGUGCUCUUUGCCCCUAUUAUGGAGAAAGGUGUUCCCUAGGAUGAUGACACAAGGAUUUAAUGAGUAGAAGACAACAACUUAAAACCUCUCAUUUGAGCAUGAAUUGUCUAGGUUAAAGGUAGGCAUUGAGAUCCCAUUAGCUACUGGCACACUUGGGAAAAGAAAUGUACACAUGCACAGACACACUUUAAAGCAAGACUUCAUAAAAAUACAGCGAUGCCUGUUUCUACUCAGACCCAAAAAUGGAAUUAAAGCCAAAACUUACAACCCCUCUACUAAUUAGAGAAGUAAAAAUGUCUUCACCCCAAGUGUCCCAGCACAACGUGAAACCGAAACAAGCUGCCUUUCUUUGGAUUCCACUUAUUUAUUUAUGUUUAAAAGAAUAUUUGAAGAAAAGGACGCCUAGUAAAAGAACAGUUGGAGAAAACAUGGGACACCAUACAUUGGAAGAGAAAUGUAGAUGAAGUACACAGCUACAACAGGGAUAUUUUUUUUCUUGUUGAAACACAUGAUAAUGGGCUAAUAAAAAUCUGGUUACCUUUACAUUUCUUCUCCUCCGUUUGGAAGGUCUGGGCACUUGAGACACUCUGGUCGUUCACAUCAUCAUGGUCCAGAUGGAAUAUUG
Molecule: long non-coding RNA, 989 nt
Filed under: Homo sapiens (human)
Lineage: Eukaryota; Metazoa; Chordata; Mammalia; Primates; Hominidae
Description: HSALNT0052126
Source: RNAcentral